Molecule: transfer RNA, 66 nt
Filed under: Loxostege turbidalis
Lineage: Eukaryota; Metazoa; Arthropoda; Insecta; Lepidoptera; Crambidae
Description: tRNA-Ser
Source: RNAcentral
GAAAUAUAAAGCUUAAAAUCAAGCUGCUAACUUGAUUUUUAGUGGUUUAAUUCCAUUAAUAUUUCU